Molecule: long non-coding RNA, 354 nt
Organism: Zophobas morio
Lineage: Eukaryota; Metazoa; Arthropoda; Insecta; Coleoptera; Tenebrionidae
Exons: 3
Source: RefSeq, a predicted model, not a curated record
CAUCACUAAAGAAUUUUGAAAGUGUUAAUAAAAAUAAAUUCCCCGAUGUUAGUUCAAAAGAGGCUAUUAAGCUCGAACAAAAGGUAAGACAAGUUUUGGAGGUUAUUCCAUUUGCUGAUGAAUUAGCCAUAAGGGAUGAUCUUCUUAAGUUCGAUUCAGUAAAUGAUACCAUAGAAAAAUGUUUAUCCGGCUUACUUCCCGCGUUAUCUUCGAAUAUUUCACCCACACCAUCUGGCAUAAAUUGCGAAGAAACACAAAAUUUUAGUAUAAUAAAAAAAAAGGAAGAUCUAAAGAGGUUUUCCCGAGAACGGUAUCUAAAGCGAAAAGGAAUCUCUUUUUAAGUUUUAGAUCCAA